Molecule: non-coding RNA, 135 nt
Organism: Brachypodium distachyon (stiff brome)
Lineage: Eukaryota; Viridiplantae; Streptophyta; Magnoliopsida; Poales; Poaceae
Source: Rfam
AAAUUACUCCCUCCAUCCGGUAUGAAGUGUCGCAAUUUUGUCUAAAUACGCAUGUAUCUAGAUGUGUUUUAGUGUGUAGGUACAUGCGUAUCUAGAGAAAUUGUGACACUUGAUACCGGACGGAGGGAGUACUUU